UACGUAGGCAGCGAGCGUUGUUCGGAGUUACUGGGCGUAAAGGGUGUGUAGGCGGUUGUUUAAGUUUGGUGUGAAAUCUCCCGGCUCAACUGGGAGGGUGCGCCGAAUACUGAAUGACUUCGAGUGCGGGAGAGGAGAGUGGAAUCCUGGUGUAGCGGUGAAAUGCGUAGAUAUCUGGAGGAAUACCGGUGGCGAAGGCGGCAUCCUGGACCGGCAUUGACGCUGAGUGAGCGAAAGCUAGGGGAGCAAACGGG
This 254-nucleotide ribosomal RNA is filed under the name uncultured bacterium. RNAcentral describes it as "partial 16S ribosomal RNA". It matches the Rfam family "Bacterial small subunit ribosomal RNA", at positions 524 to 776 of the family's 1533-position model. The record is from RNAcentral.